RNAcentral lists this ribosomal RNA (439 nucleotides) under uncultured bacterium. Its description in RNAcentral is "partial 16S ribosomal RNA". It matches the Rfam family "Bacterial small subunit ribosomal RNA", at positions 339 to 795 of the family's 1533-position model. The record is from RNAcentral.
CUACGGGCGGCAGCAGUGAGGAAUAUUGCACAAUGGGGGGAACCCUGACGCAGCAACGCCGCGUGGAGGAUGACGCAUUUCGGUGUGUAAACUCCUUUUAUAUGUCAAGAAAAUGACGGUAGCAUAUGAAUAAGCACCGGCUAACUCCGUGCCAGCGGCCGCGGUAAUACGGAGGGUGCAAGCGUUACUCGGAAUCACUGGGCGUAAAGGACGCGUAGGCGGGUUGGAAAGUCAGGUGUGAAAUCCUACAGCUUAACUGUAGAACUGCACUUGAAACUUCUAAUCUAGAGUAUGGGAGGGGGAGAUGGAAUUAGUGGUGUAGGGGUAAAAUCCGUAGAUAUCACUAGGAAUACCUAAAGCGAAGGCGAUCUCCUGGAACAUUACUGACGCUAAGGCGUGAAAGCGUGGGGAGCAAACAGGAUUAGAUACCCUCGUAGUC